RNAcentral lists this unclassified non-coding RNA (209 nucleotides) under Candida dubliniensis. Its description in RNAcentral is "partial ribonuclease P RNA". Lineage: Eukaryota; Fungi; Ascomycota; Pichiomycetes; Serinales; Debaryomycetaceae. The record is from RNAcentral.
GGUACGCUCCAUCCUUUACAAAUUUUGCUCCUGAGAGCUUCUUCCUUAGCGUGAAAGCGCAUGGGCGGUGUUACAAGAAAUAUACACGGAGUUUUAAGGCUGUAAAAGGCUUACUUCGUAUGGGAAUGGCGCCGUGGAUGGUUGGCUGUAGGUAUUCAAUUACCACAAGCUGUUUAGUGCAAUAUGCGAACUUGAAGUCAACUUCAAGC